Molecule: ribosomal RNA, 253 nt
Filed under: uncultured bacterium
Lineage: Bacteria
Description: partial 16S ribosomal RNA
Rfam family: Bacterial small subunit ribosomal RNA
Source: RNAcentral
UACGAAGGGGGCUAGCGUUGCUCGGAAUUACUGGGCGUAAAGGGCGCGUAGGCGGUGCGAUAAGUCAGGCGUGAAAGCCCCGGGCUCAACCCGGGAAUAGCGCUUGAUACUGUUGCGCUUGAAUCCAGGAGAGGAUGGCGGAAUUCCCAGUGUAGAGGUGAAAUUCGUAGAUAUUGGGAAGAACACCAGUGGCGAAGGCGGCCAUCUGGCCUGGAAUUGACGCUGAGGCGCGAAAGCGUGGGGAGCAAACAGG